RNAcentral lists this ribosomal RNA (431 nucleotides) under uncultured bacterium. Its description in RNAcentral is "partial 16S ribosomal RNA". It matches the Rfam family "Bacterial small subunit ribosomal RNA", at positions 29 to 507 of the family's 1533-position model. The record is from RNAcentral.
AACGAACGCUGGCGGCAGGCUUAACACAUGCAAGUCGAGCGCCCCGCAAGGGGAGCGGCAGACGGGUGAGUAACGCGUGGGAACGUACCCUUAUCUUCGGGAUAGCCCCGGGAAACUGGAAUUAAUACCGAAUGUGCCCUUUGGGGGUAAGGCAUAUCGGGUAAGGAUCGGCCCGCGUUGGAUUAGCUCGUUGGUGGGGUAAAGGCCUACCAAGGCGACGAUCCAUAGCUGGUCUGAGAGGAUGAUCAGACACAUUGGGGCUGAGACACGGCGCAAACUCCUACGGGAGGGAGCAGUGGGGGAUAUUGGACAAUGGGCGCAAGCCUGAUCCAGCCAGGCCGCGUGAGUGAUGAAGGCCGUAGGGUUGUAAAGCUCUUUCACCGGAGAAGAUAAUGACGGUAUCCGGAGAAGAAGCCCCGGCUAACUUCGUG